Molecule: unclassified non-coding RNA, 125 nt
Organism: Bison bison bison
Lineage: Eukaryota; Metazoa; Chordata; Mammalia; Artiodactyla; Bovidae
Source: Ensembl
CACAAAUAGACCUUCUGUUAAAAAUAGCCUUGGUCUAAAUGUGGAAAGAGUGUAAAUAUAGUAGCGGGUUUCGGCUUACUACUAGCCGAGCCGCCCCAGCUCCAAGUAACAGAGGCUUAUUAUAG